AGUGGAAUAACUGGGUCAGAUAGUGGUUCUAUUUCUAGUUUUUUAAAAAAUCUCCAUACUGCUUUCCAGAGUGGUUACAUUAAUUUGCAAUCCCACCAGCAAU
Molecule: microRNA precursor, 103 nt
Filed under: Marmota monax (woodchuck)
Lineage: Eukaryota; Metazoa; Chordata; Mammalia; Rodentia; Sciuridae
Source: RNAcentral